UAUCAAGGACCCUAACUAUGGAAUACGCAUGAUAGAGACACAUAUCAAAGAUCAUUAAGGUCAAUGGAAAUCAUAAGCAUUGACGAAGCAUUCAUAACUAUGGAAUACGCAUGUUACUCUUGCCAAAGAUUUACUUAACACAAUCGUGACUAGCGACUUUUACUACUUAUGAAUUUAAGUUAAUAACGAUUAGGUGAAAUUCCCUUACACUCUAGCAUCAAAUUCAUGCAUGCAAACUAAGUGUCGACCCUUAAUCAACAUACAUAAACAUGUUAUCAAUCAAAUAGAUAAGUAAACCACAUUUACGAUUUAUGAAAUCAUAACUGGAGGAAAUCAAGUCAUGUAAAACAUAUGAUCAUGGCUUUGAAUUCCCCUCUAACUAUAAAGAAAUUAGUUCCUCAUGUUCGCAAAUAAACAAAGAUAAAUAAAUUUAAACAUUGACAUAAAGAUAGAAAACACCUAGAAACGCUCCAACAAUCCAAGCUCCUUGAAUGGCAUGCACGGCUCCAAGAGUCUCCUUCCUUCUCCUUUGUAAACUCACGGCACAAGAGGGAUGUUUGGGUGAAUGGUGUAGUGAAAAUAUGGUAGAGGGUGGUCACUAAAUGGUGCAGCAAAGCAUGGUAUUUAUAGGCUGAAAUUCGCAGCCCCUAUGUAGCAAAGGAAAAGGAUUUAA
RNAcentral lists this long non-coding RNA (673 nucleotides) under Malus domestica (apple). RNAcentral describes it as "long non-coding RNA (MDOM_LNC020567)". Lineage: Eukaryota; Viridiplantae; Streptophyta; Magnoliopsida; Rosales; Rosaceae. The record is from RNAcentral.